GUAGCAACAUUCACCGGACAGCGUGGUAUAAGAAACAUGCCUUUAGGAUUAUAGGGUGAUAAAUAAUUUUAAAAAUGUAAGAUUUUCUGAAAAAAAUGUGGAGAAGUGAAAAAUGGGUUCAUAUUUUGGUGUAAAAAAUGUUUUCUUCGUUGUAAAAUAAUAUUUUAAUGUAAAUAUAUGAUUGAAAAACAUUGCACAAAAAGUGCGAAAUUUAAUCAAGUUGGCUAUAUCGUUCUCUAUUAUUCAGCAGCCUUAUGAAAUUAACGUUAGAUGUCUCAUAUAUUCGUUAAUUUUUCGUUAAAUGAUUAAAACGGACGUGUAUUCGUAGCAUUUUCACGACGCCAUUUUAUAUUAGUUCUUUGAUGUGUGAAUUUCAAUUAAUGCUGUUUGAGUGAAUAAAUUUUCUUUCAUUUCAAAUAAGCAAAUAUCUAUUCAGAAGCAGACAAAAAAAAAUGAGUGGAGGUGGUAAUAAUUCUGCACGACCACCGCCAAGAAUUGAUGGAAUGAUAUCCCUUAAGGUUGAUAAUUUAACAUAUCGCACAACACCGGAGGAUUUGAGACGUGUAUUCGAACGAUGUGGUGAGGUUGGAGAUAUCUAUAUACCCCGUGAUCGAUAUACUCGUGAAAGUCGUGGUUUCGCAUUUGUUAGAUUUUAUGACAAACGUGAUGCAGAGGACGCAUUAGAGGCUAUGGAUGGCCGAAUGCUUGACGGUAGGGAGUUACGUGUACAGAUGGCUCGUUAUGGUCGUCCAACUUCUCCAACCAGACGAACAAACAACAGACGUGGUGGUGGUGGCGGUAGACGCCGUUCUCGUUCACCUGCACGCAGGCGAUCACGUAGUCCACGACGACGAUCAUAUUCGCCUCGUUCUCGAUCUCGAUCAGCAGGUAGCCGUUCACCUGCUCGUCGAAGCAAAUUUUCACGGAGUCCAGUUGGACGAAAGUCAGCGAGCCGUAGUCAAAGUCGCAAUGGUGUAGCUGGACGUAGUGUUUCACGUAGUCGUAGCCGAUCUUAAUUGAUUUCUAACCAAGUCGUGGAUUUAAUAAAUCAGAAUUUCCCAAAAUAGUGACCAGUAUGCAUUAAAUCCUUUCAUGUGUUGAUUAGCGGCGACUUCAUAUAGAAACGCAGUCUGCGUUUAAUGCUGCUAGAUCAACAGGCAAACAAAGAUUGCUGUAAGGGCUGCUGUAAAAGUGCGAAAAGUGAUUGAGGCAGAUAUUAAAAUGAAAUAUGUAAAAAAAAAAAAGUUUGGGGAGAAAUAAUGUACAAGGAGCAGGAGGCAGAGAUUCGUAAAUUGAUUGAUGGCUGCAGCGUAGCGAAUUUUAUGAAAAACGUACUCCUGUUACUCUUGUUGCUGCUACAGCCGCUGUUUGCUGUUGUUCCAGCGUAUUAUUUGUACACCACUUGAGCCGCUGCACUUAACUAUGCCUAACACUUCGAUUUUAAUUCUCUGAGACAUUUUGAGAAAAACCAAUCCAAGUGUUAAGCUCUCGUUAAUUUACUAUUCGAGUUCGCAUCCUAUAAAUGAAAACGUUGCUGUUAAUUAACAUUAAAGUUGCAGCGCCAAUUCAGUUUUAUUAAACGAAUUUCGUAAACAAAAUAUCCGGACCAAGUACAUCUUAAGCAUACUUGAUGUGUAACGGAAUCAGUCAUUUACUUUGACGGUUUGAUUGUGUACGGGCAGCAGUUGGAGCGGUGUACGGAUAGAAUAUAUUAAAUACCUGCGAUUUAGACCCAAGUUCAGCGAAAUCUCAGAUAUGGUGCAUAUGUUUGAAGGCUGUUCAGUAUAUGUAGUGCGGAAGUUUUUCAUACAUACACAAACCAGACUGGCAGG
Bactrocera oleae (olive fruit fly) is the source of this 1832-nucleotide non-coding RNA. NCBI's taxonomy places the organism in Eukaryota, Metazoa, Arthropoda, Insecta, Diptera, Tephritidae. The record is from RefSeq and is a predicted model, not a curated record.